GACGAACGCUGGCGGCGUGCUUAACACAUGCAAGUCGAACGGACAGGCCCUGCUUUUGUUGGGUGCUCGAGUGGCGAACGGGUGAGUAACACGUGAGUAACCUGCCCUUGACUUUGGGAUAACUUCAGGAAACUGGGGCUCAUACCGGAUAGGAGCUCCUGCUGCAUGUUGGGGGUUGGAAAGUUUCGGCGGUUGGGGAUGGACUCGCGGCUUAUCAGCUUGUUGGUGGGGUAGUGGCUUACCAAGGCUUUGACGGGUAGCCGGCAUGGGAGGGUGACCGGCCACAUUGGGACUGAGAGACGGCCCAGACUCCUACGGGAGGCAGCAGUGGGGAAUAUUGCACAAUGGGCGGAAGCCUGAGGCAGCAACGCCGCGUGCGGGAUAACGGCCUUCGGGUUGUAAACCGCUUUCGCCUGUGACGAAGCGUGAGUGACGGUAAUGGGUAAAGAAGCACCGGCUAACUACGUG
This 468-nucleotide ribosomal RNA is filed under the name uncultured bacterium. RNAcentral's name for it is "partial 16S ribosomal RNA". It matches the Rfam family "Bacterial small subunit ribosomal RNA", at positions 28 to 507 of the family's 1533-position model. The record is from RNAcentral.